CCCUUAGAUGUUCUGGGCCGCACGCGUGCUACACUGAUGCAUUCAACGAGUCUAAAACCUGGUCUGAUAGGGGUGGGUAAUCUUUUGAAUGUGCAUCGUGAUUGGGAUAGAUGAUUGCAAUUUUUCAUCUUCAACGAGGAAUGCCUAGUAAACGCAAGUCAUCAGCUUGCAUUGAUUACGUCCCUGCCCUUUGUACACACCGCCCGUCGCUCCUACCGAUUGAAUGAUCCGAUGAAUAUCAUGGAUUGAGGAUGCAAGUAGGUUCGCCUAUCUUCAUCUUCGAGAAGUGAAGUAAAUCUUAUCAUUUAGAGGAAGGAGAAGUCGUAACA
This 329-nucleotide ribosomal RNA is filed under the name uncultured eukaryote. Its description in RNAcentral is "partial 18S ribosomal RNA". It matches the Rfam family "Eukaryotic small subunit ribosomal RNA", at positions 1470 to 1796 of the family's 1831-position model. The record is from RNAcentral.